GACGAAGGUGGCAACCGUUGUUCGGAAUUACUGGGCAUAAAGAGCACGUAGGCGGACUGUUAAGUCGGGUGUGAAAUCCCUCGGCCCAACCGAGGAACUGCGCCCGAUACUGGCGGUCUUGAGGACAGGAGGGGAGCGUGGAAUUCCUGGUGGAGCGGUGAAAUGCGUUGAUAUCAGGAGGAACACCGGCGGCGAAGGCG
RNAcentral lists this ribosomal RNA (200 nucleotides) under uncultured bacterium. RNAcentral describes it as "partial 16S ribosomal RNA". It matches the Rfam family "Bacterial small subunit ribosomal RNA", at positions 524 to 723 of the family's 1533-position model. The record is from RNAcentral.